UGAGAAUAAGCCAUGCGAGUCGAAUGGGAUACCUAAAUUUCCCAUGGCAGACUGCUCAGUAACACAUGAUCAACUUACCCUAUGGAAAAAAAUAACCUCGGGAAACUGAGGAUAAUGUUUUAUAGUUGAAAAGGCUUGGAAAAGUUUUUCAAUGAAAGGGAUAAGGAAAAUGGUUCUUAUUUGCCAUAGGAUAGGAUCGUGGUCGAUUGUGGUAGUUGGUGAGGUAACGGCUCACCAAGCCGAUAAUCGAUAGGGGCCGUGAGAGCGGGAGCCCCGAGAUGGGUACUGAGACAACGACCCAGGCCUUACGAGGCGCAGCAGGCGCGAGACCUCCGCAAUACACGAAAGUGUGACGGGGUUACCCAAAGUGUUCAUAAUUGAACUGUGGUAGGUGAGUAAUGUCCCCUACUACAAAGGAGAGGGCAAGGCUGGUGCCAGCCGCCGCGGUAAAACCAGCUCUUCAAGUGGUCGGGAUAAUUAUUGGGCUUAAAGUGUCCGUAGCCGGUUUAGUAAGUUCCUGGUAAAAUCGGGUAGCUUAACUAUCUGUAUGCUAGGAAUACUGCUAUACUAGAG
This 573-nucleotide ribosomal RNA is filed under the name uncultured archaeon. Its description in RNAcentral is "bacterial SSU rRNA". It matches the Rfam family "Archaeal small subunit ribosomal RNA", at positions 39 to 597 of the family's 1478-position model. The record is from RNAcentral.